UUGAUGGGAUCAACGCCAGAUAGUCUGAUUCAUUCAAUGCUGGUGUAGCAGGCAUAAUUGCAUCAGCAGCAACUGAAGAAUCCAAGUUCGAUGUUUGGGUUGUACUUGAUUCUGCAGGAGUGGCACCGGUUUCUGUUGUGGGUGUAGCACCAGAUUCUAUCGCGGGUGGUGUAGCACCAGUUUCUGUCGCGGGUGGUGCAGCGCCAGUUUCUGUCGUGGGUGCAGCGCCAGUUUCUGAUGCGGGUGCAGCACCAGAGUCUGAUGCCGGUGCAGCACCAGAGUCUGCUGCAGGUGCAGCACCAGAGUCUGAUGCCGGUGCAGCACCAGAGUCUGAUGCAGGUGGAUUACCUGAUUCUGGUGUAGUGGAAGCCCCAUUUUCUGAUUUAGGAGGAACACCGGAUUCUGAUGUUGCAGAUGUGUUGCUUCCAGCAGGAACAGAAGCCAUUGGUGCUGUUGUUUUAGAUCCUUCCAGAAGUAGUGGUUUGCCAG
RNAcentral lists this long non-coding RNA (489 nucleotides) under Solanum tuberosum (potato). RNAcentral describes it as "long non-coding RNA (STUB_LNC002327)". Lineage: Eukaryota; Viridiplantae; Streptophyta; Magnoliopsida; Solanales; Solanaceae. The record is from RNAcentral.